Aaosphaeria arxii CBS 175.79 is the source of this 86-nucleotide non-coding RNA. The record is from the annotation of a RefSeq genome assembly. NCBI's taxonomy places the organism in Eukaryota, Fungi, Ascomycota, Dothideomycetes, Pleosporales.
GCUCGCUUGGCUCAGUGGUAGAGCGUAUCACUAGUAAGCCGUCUUAGGCCAUGAUAAGGUCAUCAGUUCGAUUCUGAUAGUGAGCA